This 68-nucleotide transfer RNA is filed under the name Aspidoscelis sexlineatus (six-lined racerunner). Its description in RNAcentral is "tRNA-Thr". The record is from RNAcentral. Lineage: Eukaryota; Metazoa; Chordata; Lepidosauria; Squamata; Teiidae.
CAAUAGUAUACUAUUCUAUAACACGCCGGCCUUGUAAACCGGAAAAGGGAACCCCUCACCCUUGCAAU